This is a long non-coding RNA of Cynocephalus volans (Philippine flying lemur), 317 nucleotides long. RefSeq lists it as uncharacterized. Lineage: Eukaryota; Metazoa; Chordata; Mammalia; Dermoptera; Cynocephalidae. The record is from RefSeq and is a predicted model, not a curated record. The transcript is spliced from 3 exons.
CUGGACAGGCCACCCUAGCUGGAGAGAGACGGGUUUUGAGCUUCACGACAUCGGAUUCUCUGCCAGGAAACGAGGAGAAGCAUGCCAAGAGAAGAAUUGGACCCCCAAAAAGGGCCAGCCAAGAGCAAUGCCAGGAGCAGGGCUCUGAGAAUCCACCUUCUCUCCCUGAAGGCAUCAGCUACCUUCUCAGAACAGGUGAGCCUUCAGAUGACACCACAAAUGCUGGGCUGACACAUUGAUUGCAACCUUGUGAAAGACUGUGAAGCCGAGGAUCCAACCAAGCUGUGCCUGGAUUCCUGACACACAGGAAUUCCUGA